Molecule: ribosomal RNA, 1019 nt
Filed under: uncultured bacterium
Lineage: Bacteria
Description: bacterial SSU rRNA
Rfam family: Bacterial small subunit ribosomal RNA
Source: RNAcentral
UGAGGAAUAUUGGUCAAUGGGCGCGAGCCUGAACCAGCCAAGUAGCGUGAAGGAUGAAGGUCCUACGGAUUGUAAACUUCUUUUAUACGGGAAUAAAGUGGUCCACGUGUGGAUUUUUGCAUGUACCGUAUGAAUAAGCAUCGGCUAACUCCGUGCCAGCAGCCGCGGUAAUACGGAGGAUGCGAGCGUUAUCCGGAUUUAUUGGGUUUAAAGGGAGCGCAGACGGGGGAUUAAGUCAGUUGUGAAAGUUUGCGGCUCAACCGUAAAAUUGCAGUUGAUACUGGUUCCCUUGAGUGCAGUUGAGGCAGGCGGAAUUCGUGGUGUAGCGGUGAAAUGCAUAGAUAUCACGAAGAACCCCGAUUGCGAAGGCAGCCUGCUAAGCUGUAACUGACGUUGAGGCUCGAAAGUGUGGGUAUCAAACAGGAUUAGAUACCCUGGUAGUCCACACGGUAAACGAUGGAUACUCGCUGUUGGCGAUAUACUGUCAGCGGCCAAGCGAAAGCAUUAAGUAUCCCACCUGGGGAGUACGCCGGCAACGGUGAAACUCAAAGGAAUUGACGGGGGCCCGCACAAGCGGAGGAACAUGUGGUUUAAUUCGAUGAUACGCGAGGAACCUUACCCGGGCUUGAAUUGCAGGAGAACGAUCCAGAGAUGGUGAGGCCCUUCGGGGCUCCUGUGAAGGUGCUGCAUGGUUGUCGUCAGCUCGUGCCGUGAGGUGUCGGCUUAAGUGCCAUAACGAGCGCAACCCUCGUGGCCAGUUACUAGCAGGUAACGCUGAGGACUCUGGCCAGACUGCCAUCGUAAGAUGCGAGGAAGGUGGGGAUGACGUCAAAUCAGCACGGCCCUUACGUCCGGGGCUACACACGUGUUACAAUGGGAGGUACAGAAGGCAGCUACCCGGCGACGGGAUGCCAAUCUCCAAAGCCUCUCUCAGUUCGGACUGGAGUCUGCAACCCGACUCCACGAAGCUGGAUUCGCUAGUAAUCGCGCAUCAGCCACGGCGCGGUGAAUACGUUCCC